GAUGAACGCUGGCGGCGUGCCUAACACAUGCAAGUCGAGCGAAGCACUUACUUUAGAUUUCUUCGGAAUGACGAAGUUUGUGACUGAGCGGCGGACGGGUGAGUAACGCGUGGGCAACCUGCCCUGUACAGGGGGAUAACAGUUAGAAAUGACUGCUAAUACCGCAUAAGCCCACAGCUUCGCAUGAAGCAGUGGGAAAAACUCCGGUGGUACAGGAUGGGCCCGCGUCUGAUUAGCUAGUUGGUAAGGUAACGGCUUACCAAGGCGACGAUCAGUAGCCGACCUGAGAGGGUGACCGGCCACAUUGGGAAGGAGACACGGCCCAAACUCCUACGGGAGGCAGCAGUGGGGAAUAUUGCACAAUGGGGGAAAACCUGAUGCAGCGACGCCGCGUGAGCGAUGAAGUAUUUCGGUAUGUAAAGCGCUAUCAGCAGGGAAGAAAGUGACGGUACCUGACUAAGAAGCCCCGGCUAACUACG
This 479-nucleotide ribosomal RNA is filed under the name uncultured bacterium. RNAcentral's name for it is "partial 16S ribosomal RNA". It matches the Rfam family "Bacterial small subunit ribosomal RNA", at positions 28 to 505 of the family's 1533-position model. The record is from RNAcentral.